This 1406-nucleotide ribosomal RNA is filed under the name Pseudomonas aeruginosa. RNAcentral's name for it is "bacterial SSU rRNA". It matches the Rfam family "Bacterial small subunit ribosomal RNA". The record is from RNAcentral. Lineage: Bacteria; Pseudomonadati; Pseudomonadota; Gammaproteobacteria; Pseudomonadales; Pseudomonadaceae.
AUUAGAUCCGUUUGAGCAUGGCUCAGAUUGAACGCUGGCGGCAGGCCUAACACAUGCAAGUCGAGCGGAUGAAGGGAGCUUGCUCCUGGAUUCAGCGGCGGACGGGUGAGUAAUGCCUAGGAAUCUGCCUGGUAGUGGGGGAUAACGUCCGGAAACGGGCGCUAAUACCGCAUACGUCCUGAGGGAGAAAGUGGGGGAUCUUCGGACCUCACGCUAUCAGAUGAGCCUAGGUCGGAUUAGCUAGUUGGUGGGGUAAAGGCCUACCAAGGCGACGAUCCGUAACUGGUCUGAGAGGAUGAUCAGUCACACUGGAACUGAGACACGGUCCAGACUCCUACGGGAGGCAGCAGUGGGGAAUAUUGGACAAUGGGCGAAAGCCUGAUCCAGCCAUGCCGCGUGUGUGAAGAAGGUCUUCGGAUUGUAAAGCACUUUAAGUUGGGAGGAAGGGCAGUAAGUUAAUACCUUGCUGUUUUGACGUUACCAACAGAAUAAGCACCGGCUAACUUCGUGCCAGCAGCCGCGGUAAUACGAAGGGUGCAAGCGUUAAUCGGAAUUACUGGGCGUAAAGCGCGCGUAGGUGGUUCAGCAAGUUGGAUGUGAAAUCCCCGGGCUCACCUGGGAACUGCAUCCAAAACUACUGAGCUAGAGUACGGUAGAGGGUGGUGGAAUUUCCUGUGUAGCGGUGAAAUGCGUAGAUAUAGGAAGGAACACCAGUGGCGAAGGCGACCACCUGGACUGAUACUGACACUGAGGUGCGAAAGCGUGGGGAGCAACAGGAUUAGAUACCCUGGUAGUCCCGCCGUAAACGAUGUCGACUAGCCGUNGGGAUCCUUGAGAUCUUAGUGGCGCAGCUAACGCGAUAAGUCGACCCGCCUGGGGAGUACGGCCGCAAGGUUAAAACUCAAAUGAAUUGACGGGGGCCCGCACAAGCGGUGGAGCAUGUGGUUUAAUUCGAAGCAACGCGAAGAACCUUACCUGGCCUUGACAUGCUGAGAACUUUCCAGAGAUGGAUUGGUGCCUUCGGGAACUCAGACACAGGUGCUGCAUGGCUGUCGUCAGCUCGUGUCGUGAGAUGUUGGGUUAAGUCCCGUAACGAGCGCAACCCUUGUCCUUAGUUACCAGCACCUCGGGUGGGCACUCUAAGGAGACUGCCGGUGACAAACCGGAGGAAGGUGGGGAUGACGUCAAGUCAUCAUGGCCCUUACGGCCAGGGCUACACACGUGCUACAAUGGUCGGUACAAAGGGUUGCCAAGCCGCGAGGUGGAGCUAAUCCCAUAAAACCGAUCGUAGUCCGGAUCGCAGUCUGCAACUCGACUGCGUGAAGUCGGAAUCGCUAGUAAUCGUGAAUCAGAAUGUCACGGUGAAUACGUUCCCGGGCCUUGCACACACCGCCCGUAAGCUUCCG